GUGCGCCGGAAGUGGGGUGCGGAGGUGUGCAGCGCGCUGUCAGACUGGCUCGCAGGCGGCGCGGCCGGCGGACCCGUUCGAGACAGCGCGGGCGGCUCGGGUCCCCUGGGGCUCCGCAGCAGGAGGACGCCAUGGACGACAAGGAGUUAAUUGAAUACUUUAAGUCUCAGAUGAAAGAAGAUCCUGACAUGGCCUCAGCAGUGGCUGCCAUCCGGACGUUGCUGGAGUUCUUGAAGAGAGAUAAAGGGGAGACAAUCCAGGGUCUGAGGGCGAAUCUCACCAGUGCCAUAGAAACCCUGUGUGGUGUGGACUCCUCUGUGGCAGUGUCCUCUGGCGGGGAGCUCUUCCUCCGCUUCAUCAGUCUUGCCUCCCUGGAAUACUCCGAUUACUCCAAAUGUAAAAAGAUCAUGAUUGAGCGGGGAGAACUUUUUCUCAGGAGAAUAUCACUGUCAAGAAACAAAAUUGCAGAUCUGUGCCAUACUUUCAUCAAAGAUGGAGCGGUGAGUGGAUAAUCAUCAUGGUGGUAAGGAGGAGCAAGGGUUUCGAGUCCGACUGCCUGGGGUAAAAUCCAGGCUCUGCCACUCACUUGCUGUGGAGACUUGAACAAGUAACUUAACCUGUC
Molecule: small RNA, 622 nt
Filed under: Pan troglodytes (chimpanzee)
Lineage: Eukaryota; Metazoa; Chordata; Mammalia; Primates; Hominidae
Description: retained intron
Source: RNAcentral